GGCAGCCCGAAGUGGUGAUCACUAUUAUUGGGUCUAAAGGGUCCGUAGCCGGUUUAAUCAGUCUUCUGGGAAAUCUAAUCGCUUAACUAUUAGGCUUCCAGGGGAUACUGUUAGACUUGGGACCGGGAGAGGUAAGAGGUACUGCAGGGGUAGGAGUGAAAUCUUGUAAUCCCUGUGAGACCACCAGUGGCGAAGGCGUCUUACCAGAACGGGUCCGACGGUGAGGGACGAAAGCUGGGGGCACGAACCGGAUUAGAUACCCGGGUAGUCCCAGCUGUAAACGAUGCUCGUUAGGUGUCAGGAACGGUGCGACUGUUUCUGGUGCCGAAGGGAAGCCGUGAAACGAGCCACCUGGGAAGUACGGCCGCAAGGCUGAAACUUAAAGGAAUUGGCGGGGGAGCACUACAACGGGUGGAGCCUGCGGUUUAAUUGGACUCAACGCCGGAAAACUCACCGGGGGCGACAGCAAUAUGUAGGUCAGGUUAAAGGUCUUACCUGAAUCGCUGAGAGGAGGUGCAUGGCCGUCGUCAGUUCGUACUGUGAAGCAUCCUGUUAAGUCAGGCAACGAGCAAGACCCGUGCCCACUGUUACCAGCAUAUCCUUUAUGGAUGAUGGGGACUCUGUGGGGACCGCUGCUGCUAAAGCAGAGGAAGGUGCGGGCUACGGUAGGUCAGUAUGCCCCGAAUCUCCCGGGCUACACGCGGGCUACAAUGGUUGGGACAAUGGGUAUCUACUCCGAAAGGAGUUGGCAAUCUCUUAAACCCAAUCGUAGUUCGAAUUGAGGGCUGUAACUCGCCCUCAUGAAGCUGGAAUCCGUAGUAAUCGCGUUUCAACAUAGCGCGGU
This 844-nucleotide ribosomal RNA is filed under the name uncultured archaeon. RNAcentral describes it as "bacterial SSU rRNA". It matches the Rfam family "Archaeal small subunit ribosomal RNA", at positions 478 to 1319 of the family's 1478-position model. The record is from RNAcentral.